GCGGAGGGGUUCCACACGUACCCAUCCCGAACACGACCGUUAAGCCCUCCAGCGCCGAUGGUACUUGGACCGCAGGGUCCUGGGAGAGUAGGACGUCGCCAAGC
Molecule: ribosomal RNA, 104 nt
Filed under: Paenibacillus sp.
Lineage: Bacteria; Bacillati; Bacillota; Bacilli; Caryophanales; Paenibacillaceae
Also listed under: 1 other name
Source: RNAcentral